This 394-nucleotide ribosomal RNA is filed under the name uncultured bacterium. RNAcentral's name for it is "partial 16S ribosomal RNA". It matches the Rfam family "Bacterial small subunit ribosomal RNA", at positions 338 to 729 of the family's 1533-position model. The record is from RNAcentral.
CCUACGGGAGGCAGCAGUGAGGAAUAUUGGUCAAUGGGCGGAAGCCUGAACCAGCCAAGCCGCGUGAAGGAUGAAGGCUCAAAGCGUUGCAGACCUCUUUUAUCGAGGGACAAAAGGCGGGACGUGUCCGGUUCUGAAGGUAACCGGUGAAAAAGGAUCGGCUAACUCCGUGCCAGCAGCAGCGGUAAUACGGAGGAUGCGAGCGUUAUCCGGAUUUAUUGGGGUUAAAGGGUGCGUAGGGGGGUCGUUAAGGCAGUGGGUAAAGUUCGCGGCUUAAACGUACAAGUGCAUCUGAAACUGGUAGCCUUGAGUGCGGCUGAGGCAUGCGGAAUGCGUGGUGUAGCGGUGAAAUGCAUAGAUAUCGCGAAGAACCCCGAUUGCGAAGGCAGCGUGC